This is a long non-coding RNA of Labeo rohita (rohu), 2691 nucleotides long. RefSeq lists it as uncharacterized. The record is from RefSeq and is a predicted model, not a curated record. The transcript has 7 exons. NCBI's taxonomy places the organism in Eukaryota, Metazoa, Chordata, Actinopteri, Cypriniformes, Cyprinidae.
GGGUGAGUAAAUUAUUUGUGAAUUGUUGUUCUGGAAGUGGAGUUCUCUUUUAAGAAGACAAGGAUUAAACAUCGAUAUUGAUUAGUCUCAUAAUAUUUUUAUGAACAUUUUGAAAGUUUUGUUGGAAUGGACUUUCAAAGUAGGAAGCAAAAUCUCUCAGAUUUAAUCAAAAAUGUAUUUUUUUGUGUUUUAUAGCUGAAUGAAAGUCUAAUGGGUUUGGAUCAACAAGUGGGUUGAGUAGAAAAGCAACUCUUUAGGUUUGGAAACUAAACAAGGGUAAGUAUUUUUUGAGUAAGCUGUCAAUUCUAAAAUUGCUGUUUCUGAUGAUGAUUGUAUGAAUCCAAUUCUUUGUUUGAAACUAAUGGUCAGACUCAUAACCUCACAGGGCGGCUGCAACUGCUCUCAGUCAAAGGUUUCCCGCCAUGGCUAGAGUGACCUCCCAUCUGCCGAGUCGUGUCUGAGGGGAACUUGUCUGUCCUUGCUGGGUAACAAAUGACCCUGACACACCAGAGACUCUGUGCUUGCACCUGCUUAACUUUUCUCACCCGUCUGUCUCCCAUCGCGCCAGACUGACAAAGCUCAGGGCCCUGUGGGCUCCAGACGAUUCUUUUCGGACCGAGCGGCGCGCUAGCAGGCGAGAGCGGCUUACUCUGGCUUUGGCAGCAUCUGUCAGCUCUGGGGUUGGUACAACCCUUGGGGGGAUGAUAGACUUGCUUAUAAAUAACCCUGAAAUGAAUUAAAAGAGAUAAAGAGGCGCCUGUUGCCGAAGAGACGGAGAGCUCUCGGUUUUGGCCGGAGGGCACGACGGGGGUGUCGGGACAGGCCGAUACGGUCGAGAGGGAGCGGGAGGUAUAAUUGAAACAUUGCGCCGUGGCAGAGUGGCCUUUGGUGUGAUUGAUACCAUUUUAGAGUACUCCUGUUCGCCCAGGCUCCGGGGGAUUUACCUGAGGCAGAGAAGGGAAGGGGGGAUGCUUAGGUGGCUCAUCCGGGUUUGGCAGAAAAUUGGUGCCAUCCAUCAAGUACCAGAUUUAACGAACACUGAAACCGGGCCGCCCGGCAAAGGAUUCUUAUUUAAGGCAGUGAACCAGGAAACGUGCGAGGGGCAUGGACUGGUGCGGGUCUAUCAAUCAGCCAGUCAGCUCCUUUAUUCAACAAGCGAGCGACAGCCCCUGAGGCCAGCGCAUGGGGUUCCGGCUUGUUGGCCUUGCAACACUCUCCCUGAAGGGAAGUGGUGGGAAGUGAAUGCGAAAGAGAGGUGGAGAGAGUUUUGAGGAGGGGGGCACAAGAAGAGGAGAGCCAUCAGGGCUUGGCCGUGUCCCCUGAUGAGCUAGCAUGCUUCAUCUUUCUUGCGCGUGGACCUGGAACUGCGGCUUGAUGGGAUUUUCAGCACUGUGGCCUCCAUGCCUCGCCGGCGAGCGGUCGGGGGCCUAAGGCUGGGCGCUGAUGCCCUCGCUGACUCUUGGACUCCCUUAACGCUGCAUCGCCUUUGCCUGAACUUGGAGAAGAAAAUCCAGAGCGCAGGAUUUAAUAGCUUCGCAAGAGUGAGAAAUGAAAUGCAACUUUGCGUUUUCUGUGGUCGUGGAAUGCCAACGAGUAGCUGAAACCAAUGGUCUCAAGCUCAAAUUACCUGGUGGGCCUCUAGCCAGCCUCCAACAGGGUUCAGUUGAACAGAUACAACCAUGAAUUUGAACUUCAUAAAGUUUUUGGUGCAGUUGUUUUCAACAGGUAGCAGUUGCAGGAAUUGACCAGUCAUCAGAAGCUGGCUUUGAGGUUCUGGUUUCCUGUCUUAUUGCAGUCAGUUUAUCCCUUGAUGUAAUUUCAGAAAUAGUCUUCAUAAUCUUUCAUCAACCACAUUGCUCCAUUUUGUUUAGGAUGGUGCCAGUGGAACUCAUACAUUCAGCAGGAUGAAUUGCAGACCGAUGCUAAGAGGACACCUGCACGCCUUGUGGCACGGGGGCAGAAAAUGGACCUGUUCUAUUUUCUUCCCUCCCUUUGUCCCUGGUUCCUUCUUCCUUCAUUCCCUGAGAAGAUGCUGCUCCUCUCGACCUGCACCGGCUGGAAAAAAAAACCCCACCUCCCAAUCACCUCUUCUACAAGAGGGCGUCAAGUCCCUGUGGUGUUUUACCCAGAGUUCAAUAACCCACUCCACCCUCAAUCAAGAGUGAGAAAAGAGGACAACAAUAAGGAGAAGCUGAGGACACUCAACAGACAUGUAAAAGGUAGACGCCAAUGGGUGGGACUCGCAUGCUGAUGGAAUGACGUUUGUCAGGCGGAUUAAAACUAAAGAUGAACCAUGUGGGAGUUUCCUCCAAAGAGCCUGUGGAUAAAUCUCAUUAGCAUAGCUGCUCUGUGGACGGCUGUAAAUUUAACGAAUGACGUGCUGGAGUGGAUGAGCUCAUCUGAAGAGUUUGGGAGUGUUUGCAUCUUUGUGGUGCCAUCAGCAAAUCAGCACUGCUGAACACGAGUCGCCGGUUCGAUCUCAGCUUGGAAUGAUCCGGCGGGAUUGUCCUUGUCUGUUAAAUGACUGCUUACUUUCAUCAAAAGCUGAUGAGCUGUUUAGACUCCCAUUCUGACGGCACCCAUUCACCGCAAAGGAUCUGUUGGUGAGCGAGUGAUGUAAUGCUGAGUUUCUUAAAAUCUGUUCUGAUUUUUGGAUGGACUGAGGAUGAGGGUGAGUACAUUUUUUGCCAA